GAGUUUGAUCUUGGCUCAGAUUGAACGCUGGCGGCAUGCCUUACACAUGCAAGUCGAACGGCAGCACGGGAGCUUGCUCCUGGUGGCGAGUGGCGAACGGGUGAGUAAUGCAUCGGAACGUAUCCUGGAGUGGGGGAUAACGUAGCGAAAGUUACGCUAAUACCGCAUAUUCUGUGAGCAGGAAAGCGGGGGACCUUCGGGCCUCGCGCGUCCUUGGAGCGGCCGAUGUCGGAUUAGCUAGUUGGUGAGGUAAAGGCUCGACCAAGGCGACGAUCCGUAGCAGGUCUGAGAGGAUGGAUCUGCCAC
This 306-nucleotide ribosomal RNA is filed under the name bacterium enrichment culture clone ALO1_GLFRUDD03HCK50. Its description in RNAcentral is "bacterial SSU rRNA". It matches the Rfam family "Bacterial small subunit ribosomal RNA", at positions 9 to 311 of the family's 1533-position model. The record is from RNAcentral.